RNAcentral lists this ribosomal RNA (469 nucleotides) under uncultured Pseudomonadota bacterium. RNAcentral describes it as "bacterial SSU rRNA". It matches the Rfam family "Bacterial small subunit ribosomal RNA", at positions 12 to 529 of the family's 1533-position model. The record is from RNAcentral. Lineage: Bacteria; Pseudomonadati; Pseudomonadota.
UUUGAUCCUGGCUCAGAACGAACGCUGGCGGCAGGCUUAACACAUGCAAGUCGAACGCUCCGCAAGGGGAGUGGCAGACGGGUGAGUAACGCGUGGGAACGUGCCCCAAGGUACGGAACAACUCCGGGAAACUGGAGCUAAUACCGUAUGUGCCCGAGAGGGGAAAGAUUUAUCGCCUUGGGAUCGGCCCGCGUCUGAUUAGCUAGUUGGUAGGGUAAAGGCCUACCAAGGCUACGAUCAGUAGCUGGUCUGAGAGGAUGGCCAGCCACACUGGGACUGAGACACGGCCCAGACUCCUACGGGAGGCAGCAGUGGGGAAUAUUGGACAAUGGGCGAAAGCCUGAUCCAGCCAUGCCGCGUGAGUGAUGAAGGCCUUAGGGUUGUAAAGCUCUUUCGGCGGGGACGAUAAUGACGGUACCCGCAGAAGAAGCCCCGGCUAACUUCGUGCCAGCAGCCGCGGUAAUACGAA